UAUGUGAUCGUCUCUCGCAUAUCAAUAAGCGGAGGAAAAGAACCUAACAAGGAUUCCCCUAGUAACGGCGAGUGAAGCGGGAAGAGCUCAAAUUUGAAAUCUUAAAGGGUUUCCCUUUACGAAUUGUAGUUUAAAGAAGUGUUUUCUGUUGAGGUUUUGGUAAAAGUUCUUUGGAAUAGGACAUCAUAGAGGGUGAGAAUCCCGUAUUUGACCUUUACUUUCAACUUUGUGAUACACUUUCAAAGAGUCGGAUUGUUUGGGAAUGCAGUCCAAAAUGGGUGGUAAAUUUCAUCUAAAGCUAAAUAUUGGCGAGAGACCGAUAGCGAACAAGUACCGUGAGGGAAAGAUGAAAAGAACUUUGAAAAGAGAGUUAAACAGUACGUGAAAUUGUCAAAAGGGAAGCGUUUGACACCAGUGUUGUUUUUCUGAAAAUCAAUUAAAGAACUGUUUAUGCUAAGUUGUUUAGACAUUUAUCAGCUAACUGUUUAGUUUUGAGCUUUUCUUUAAUGCACUUUUCAGUUAACAAGUCAACAUCAAUUUCUUUUGCUGUAAAAAAGCUUGAGGAAGGUGGCUUGAGAUUCGUCUUAAGUGUUUAUAGCCUCUUGCCUAUGCAGUCGGAGAGAUUGAGGUCUGCAGCGUAGAUCCUUCGGGGCUAAAUGCAUUGUGCUAAGUUAUAGCAUUUUAUAGACAACUUGUUGACUAUGAUUUGUCUUGUAGCUUACUCGCUUAUGUUAUUUUACCUACGCUUAGGAUGUUGACUGAUAUGUAGUCGUA
RNAcentral lists this ribosomal RNA (774 nucleotides) under uncultured Neocallimastigales. Its description in RNAcentral is "partial large subunit ribosomal RNA". It matches the Rfam family "Eukaryotic large subunit ribosomal RNA", at positions 24 to 644 of the family's 3401-position model. Lineage: Eukaryota; Fungi; Neocallimastigomycota; Neocallimastigomycetes; Neocallimastigales. The record is from RNAcentral.